UACAGAGGUCUCAAGCGUUGUUCGGAUUCAUUGGGCGUAAAGGGUGCGUAGGCGGCGCGGUAAGUCGGGUGUGAAAUCUCGGAGCUUAACUCCGAAACUGCAUUCGAUACUGCCGUGCUUGAGGACUGGAGAGGAGACUGGAAUUUACGGUGUAGCGGUGAAAUGCGUAGAUAUGCGGAGGAACACCGAUGGCGAAGGCAAUCCCCUGGACCUGUGACUCGACGCUCAUGCACGAAAGCGUGGGGACAA
Molecule: ribosomal RNA, 249 nt
Filed under: uncultured bacterium
Lineage: Bacteria
Description: partial 16S ribosomal RNA
Rfam family: Bacterial small subunit ribosomal RNA
Source: RNAcentral